CAUUUGAACGGUACACGACAUUCAACGUAAAAAUGCAAAUGCACGUUAAAGAUAGGCCACGUUAAAGACGCUCGAUGAAAGAGGAAACUAAACGGAUAGCGAAAUUUUGAAGCGGCCGGUAGCACUUGAAAAACUCGAAGACCGAUAGCCAGGUCGUAUAUCAUGCCGAUAGCACGGCAAAGGAUGCAGAGAAACGAGCCUGGCUCGAACUUGUUGAGCAAAUAAAACGCGAAAAUGUAGUAAGCCGAGGAGAAAUCAGCAAUAGAGAUUUUUCCUAGAAGUAAUUUAUCAUCAGAAAGGAUUCUCAACUCAACGGAGGAUAUCUUGCUCGGUUUAGGUUUCCCCCUCCUUGAAACUCCUGCCUUAUCGGAAUUACAAUUAUCAAAGUUAGCCGAUGAACUUUUAAUUAGAAUCCGAAUAAAGUCUGAAAGGUCGUGACAAAUUGAACGACCGAGCGAGUCGGAAUGAUCGACGAAAAAGCAGCGACCGAAAAGACUUUGGAAGAAAGGAAAAAAGUGUCGCAGACUGAUAAAGCUUGAAAAGUAGAAACUCUUGUUUCCUGAAGGCGGCAAAAGGAUCGCGACUACGCUACGCGAUACGACGCGACGGGAAGCGCACUUAGAAAAUCAACAAGCGUCUGGAAUACGAGGAAACGAAUGGAAUACGAAG
This 669-nucleotide unclassified non-coding RNA is filed under the name Bombus terrestris (buff-tailed bumblebee). RNAcentral describes it as "misc RNA ENSBTSG00005036903.1". The record is from RNAcentral. Lineage: Eukaryota; Metazoa; Arthropoda; Insecta; Hymenoptera; Apidae.